This is a small nuclear RNA of Zalophus californianus (California sea lion), 104 nucleotides long. The record is from Ensembl. Lineage: Eukaryota; Metazoa; Chordata; Mammalia; Carnivora; Otariidae.
UCGCUUCAGCAGCAGGCGUACUCAAAUUGGAACCAUGCGGGGAAGAUUAGUAUGGCCCCUGCUCGAGGAUGACCUGUAUCACUUGGCAAGCUGGAACUGAAAGA